CAUUGGAUUGAGAACAACGUACAACUCUUAUCGAUAAGCCAUUGGAGGGCAAGUCUGGUGCCAGCAGCCGCGGUAAUUCCAGCUCCAAUAGCGUAUAUUAACGUUGUUGCAGUUAAAAAGCUCGUAGUUGAAGUGAGGGAGUGUGUGUUCAUGAGAGCUAGUCUCGAGUGUUCACAACCUCCCCCCUCCAAUCGGUGUAGUGGGGUAUUCAGUUAUUUCACUACUCCUUUGGUCGUUUACUGUGAGAAAAUUAGAGUGUUCAAAGCGGGCGUUUGUUUGAAUAGAUUAGCAUGGAAUAAUGAUUGAAGGCUUUCGUGUUCGAUUUGAUUGGUUUGUUCAUGGAAGCAAGGUUAAAAGGAACAGUUGGGGGUAUUCAUAUUCACUAGUUAGAGGUGAAAUUCUCGGAUUUAUGGAAGAUGAACAAGUGCGAAAGCAA
RNAcentral lists this ribosomal RNA (436 nucleotides) under Blastocystis hominis. Its description in RNAcentral is "SSU rRNA". It matches the Rfam family "Eukaryotic small subunit ribosomal RNA", at positions 507 to 954 of the family's 1831-position model. The record is from RNAcentral. Lineage: Eukaryota; Bigyra; Opalinata; Blastocystidae.